This 425-nucleotide ribosomal RNA is filed under the name uncultured bacterium. Its description in RNAcentral is "partial 16S ribosomal RNA". It matches the Rfam family "Bacterial small subunit ribosomal RNA", at positions 354 to 796 of the family's 1533-position model. The record is from RNAcentral.
GUGGGGAAUCUUGCGCAAUGGGCGAAAGCCUGACGCAGCCAUGCCGCGUGAAUGAUGAAGGUCUUAGGAUUGUAAAAUUCUUUCACCGGGGACGAUAAUGACGGUACCCGGAGAAGAAGCCCCGGCUAACUUCGUGCCAGCAGCCGCGGUAAUACGAAGGGGGCUAGCGUUGCUCGGAAUUACUGGGCGUAAAGGGCGCGUAGGCGGACAGUUUAGUCAGAGGUGAAAGCCCAGGGCUCAACCUUGGAAUUGCAUUUGAUACUGGCUGUCUUGAGUACGGGAGAGGUGAGUGGAACUCCGAGUGUAGAGGUGAAAUUCGUAGAUAUUCGGAAGAACACCAGUGGCGAAGGCGACUCACUGGCCCGUUACUGACGCUGAGGCGCGAAAGCGUGGGGAGCAAACAGGAUUAGAUACCCGAGUAGUCC